Molecule: ribosomal RNA, 1623 nt
Filed under: human gut metagenome
Description: bacterial LSU rRNA
Rfam family: Bacterial large subunit ribosomal RNA
Source: RNAcentral
UGGUUCCGCGCCGACAAUGUAGCGGGGCUCAAGCACACCACCGAAGACGCGGCAGUAUUUUGUACUGGGUAGGAGAGCGUCCCAUGAGGGGCGAAGCGGCCGUGUGAACGCGCCGUGGACUUCAUGGGAGUGAGAAUGCAGACAUGAGUAGCGAGAGACGGGUGAAGAUCCCGUCCGCUGGAUGACCAAGGGUUCCAGGGCCACGUUCAUCGUCCCUGGGUGAGUCGGGUCCUAAGGCGAGGCCGACAGGCGUAGUCGAAUGGAUGAACGGGUCGAUAUUCCCGUACCGGCUUUCAGCCGCCAAAACCGAGGCUUGGAGUACUAACCUCCGGGUCCGGGCUUACUGCUCCUUCGGGGGCGGGAUGCCCUGGCCUGUUGGGACCGAUCCUUGUAGUAGGUCAGCGCAGGAGUGACGCAGAAGGGUAGCCGGCCGCGGAGGUGGUCUUCCGUGGUCAAGCACGCAGGGCGUGGGACAGGCAAAUCCGUCCCGCAUGGGUCCGAGGUGCGAUGAUGGGGGCCUUAUGGCCCGAUAUCCGGUGAUCCCGGCUGCCGAGAAAAGCUUCGGCGUCAGGCUCAAAGCCGCCCGUACCCCAAACCGACACUGGUGGUCAGGUAGAGAAUACCAAAGCGAUCGAGCGAAUCCUGGUCAAGGAACUCGGCAAAUCACUCCCGUUCCUUCGGUUUAAGGGAGACCCCCGAUGGUGAACCGCCUCGCGCGGGGAGCUUUUGGGGGUGGCACAGACCAGGGGGUAGCGACUGUUUACCAAAAACACAGGUGCAUGCGAAGGCGCAAGCCGCUGUAUAUGCACUGACGCCUGCCCGGUGCCGGAAGGUUAAGAGGAUCCGUCAGUCCCUUUUGGGGUGAAGCGGUGAAUUCAAGCCCCGGUAAACGGCGGUGGUAACUAUAACCAUCCUAAGGUAGCGAAAUUCCUUGUCGGGUAAGUUCCGACCUGCACGAAUGGCGUAACGACUUCCCCACUGUCUCGACCAGGAGCUCGGCGAAAUUGCAGUACGAGUAAAGAUGCUCGUUAAGCGCAGAAGGACGAAAAGACCCCGGGACCUUUACUAUACCUUGGUAUUGGCGUUAGGCGCGGAUUGUGUAGCAUAGGCGGGAGGCUUCGAAGCAUGGGCGCCAGCCCGUGUGGAGCCGCAAGGUGAAAUACCGCUCUGUUCUCGUUUGACGUCUAACCUCGAACAGUCAUCCUGUUCAGGGACAGUGCCUGGCGGGUAGUUUAACUGGGGCGGUUGCCUCCCAAAGAGUAACGGAGGCGCUCAAAGGUCCGCUCAGCCCGGUUGGCAAUCGGGUUUCGAGUGUAAUCGCACAAGCGGGCUUGACUGCGAGAACGACGGUUCGGGCAGGGACGAAAGUCGGAGAUAGUGAUCCGGUGCCGGCGCACGGGCGCGGCAUCGCUCAACGGAUAAAAGGUACCCCGGGGAUAACAGGCUGAUCAUUCCCAAGAGUCCAUAUCGACGGGAUGGUUUGGCACCUCGAUGUCGGCUCGUCGCAUCCUGGGGCUGGAGCAGGUCCCAAGGGUUCGGCUGUUCGCCGAUUAAAGCGGCACGCGAGCUGGGUUCAGAACGUCGUGAGACAGUUUGGUCUCUAUCCUCUGCGCUCGUUGGAAU